Molecule: ribosomal RNA, 484 nt
Filed under: uncultured bacterium
Lineage: Bacteria
Description: partial 16S ribosomal RNA
Rfam family: Bacterial small subunit ribosomal RNA
Source: RNAcentral
GAUUAACGCUAGCGGCAGGCAUAAUACAUGCAUGUUGAACGGCAGCACAGGUAGCACUCCUGGGUGGCGAGUGGCGCACGGGUGCGUAACACGUAUGCAACCUACCCUAUACAGGCGAAUAACCUUUAGAAAUGAGGGCUAAUACGCCGUAGUAUUACAGAUGGGCAUCUAUUUGUAAUUAAAGAUUUAUCGGUAUAGGAUGGGCAUGCGUCCCAUUAGUUAGUUGGUAAGGUAACGGCUUACCAAGACGAUGAUGGGUAGGGGAUCUGAGAGGACUUACCCCCACACUGGUACUGAGACACGGACCAGACUCCUACGGGAGGCAGCAGUAAGGAAUAGUGGGCAAUGGCCGCGAGGCUGACCCAGCCAUGCCGCGUGCAGGAAGACGGCCUUAUGGGUUGUAAACUGCUUUUAUACGGGAAUAAUAGAGUGUACGCGUACAUUUAUGCAAGUAUCGUAUGAAUAAGCAGCGGCUAACUCCGUG